AAGCCACUGAGCCAAGCACACACAGAAACCCAGGGACAGUGACUUCCCAGUAGUCACUGCAGAACCGGGGGUUCUCCUCCAGCUCCCUGGCUGGGAGCUGGUGAGGUCAGGCUUGGGGAACGUCUGUGCAACCGCAAGGCAGGAGUUAAUGACUGAGGAGCUUGGAAUGUGGUGGUUCUGAAAGGGCCUCUUGUGGCCCCACGGUUAGAGCAGGAAGGGACUUUCAAGUCACGUACACACACUGCACUGGAGUCCUGGGCCCUGCUCUGCUGCUACAGUGUGAGGAGAAGGCAGGGUAAUCUCUUUUGUAGCAGGAGGAUGUAUGCAGUCAGGUUGGACCCAGCACUCUGGCAUCACAGGCGUUCACUACCACCACCACCACUACCACACCUGUUUCUGUGACGUUAUCGUAUGUAUAUCUCCAGCAAUCCUGAGACGUAGUUAUCACUAUGUCUCCAUUUCACAAACGAGGAAACAGGAGCUCAGAGAGAUUGGGUGAGUCAUCCAGGACAUGCAGUGGAUGGUCAGCCUGUCCAGAAUUCAAACCCAGAACCCAGAGCUUUCUGAGUCCACCAUUCUAUCAGAGGCCUUGACACCAGUUGAAACGGGGUGUGGUAGCACAUGCCUGUAAUAUCUGCCCUCCACUCCGGAGGUGAAGGCAAACACCAGCAGUUCUAGGCUAUCCUAAGACACAGAAGGUAAAGACCAACCUGGGCUACCUGAG
RNAcentral lists this long non-coding RNA (724 nucleotides) under Cricetulus griseus (Chinese hamster). RNAcentral describes it as "lncRNA (ENSCGRG00015033428.1)". Lineage: Eukaryota; Metazoa; Chordata; Mammalia; Rodentia; Cricetidae. The record is from RNAcentral.